GAUGAACGCUGGCGGGGUGCCUAAUACAUGCAAGUCGAACGCAUAGCGAAAGGUGCUUGCACCUUUCAAGUGAGUGGCGAACGGGUGAGUAACACGUGGACAACCUGCCUCAAGGCUGGGGAUAACAUUUGGAAACAGAUGCUAAUACCGAAUAAAACUUAGUGUCGCAUGACACAAAGUUAAAAGGCGCUUCGGCGUCACCUAGAGAUGGAUCCGCGGUGCAUUAGUUAGUUGGUGGGGUAAAGGCCUACCAAGACAAUGAUGCAUAGCCGAGUUGAGAGACUGAUCGGCCACAUUGGGACUGAGACACGGCCCAAACUCCUACGGGAGGCUGCAGUAGGGAAUCUUCCACAAUGGGCGAAAGCCUGAUGGAGCAACGCCGCGUGUGUGAUGAAGGCUUUCGGGUCGUAAAGCACUGUUGUAUGGGAAGAACAGCUAGAAUAGGAAAUGAUUUUAGUUUGACGGUACCAUACCAGAAAGGGACGGCUAAAUACGUG
This 497-nucleotide ribosomal RNA is filed under the name uncultured bacterium. RNAcentral describes it as "partial 16S ribosomal RNA". It matches the Rfam family "Bacterial small subunit ribosomal RNA", at positions 28 to 507 of the family's 1533-position model. The record is from RNAcentral.